RNAcentral lists this ribosomal RNA (253 nucleotides) under uncultured bacterium. RNAcentral's name for it is "partial 16S ribosomal RNA". It matches the Rfam family "Bacterial small subunit ribosomal RNA", at positions 524 to 776 of the family's 1533-position model. The record is from RNAcentral.
UACAGAGGUCUCAAGCGUUGUUCGGAUUCAUUGGGCGUAAAGGGUGCGUAGGCGGUGCGGUAAGUCGGGUGUGAAAUCUCGGGGCUUAACUCCGAAACUGCAUUCGAUACUACCGUGCUUGAGGACUGGAGAGGAGACUGGAAUUUACGGUGUAGCGGUGAAAUGCGUAGAUAUCGUAAGGAAGACCAGUGGCGAAGGCGGGUCUCUGGGCCGAUACUGACGCUGAGGAGCGAAAGCGUGGGGAGCGAACAGG